This is a non-coding RNA of Triticum aestivum (bread wheat), 132 nucleotides long. The record is from Rfam. Lineage: Eukaryota; Viridiplantae; Streptophyta; Magnoliopsida; Poales; Poaceae.
AAUGUAUUACCUCCGUCCCAAAAUUCUUGUCUUACAUUUGUUUAGAUACGGAAGUAUCUAACACUAAAACGUGACUAGAUACAUCCGUAGAAAAAUCGAAGACAAGAAUUUUGUGGACGGAGGGAGUAUGUA